AUUAGAUAAAAAACCAAUGCCCUUCGGGGCUUCUUGGUGAUUCAUGAUAACUAAACGGGUCGCAUGGCCUUGCGCCGGCGACGGUUCAUUCAAAUUUCUGCCCUAUCAACUUUCGAUGGUAAGGUAUUGGCUUACCAUGGUUUCAACGGGUAACGGGGAAUUAGGGUUCGAUUCCGGAGAGGGAGCCUGAGAAACGGCUACCACAUCCAAGGAAGGCAGCAGGCGCGCAAAUUACCCAAUCCCGACACGGGGAGGUAGUGACAAUAAAUACUGAUACAGGGCUCUUUUGGGUCUUGUAAUUGGAAUGAGUACAAUUUAAACCUCUUAACGAGGAACAAUUGGAGGGCAAGUCUGGUGCCAGCAGCCGCGGUAAUUCCAGCUCCAAUAGCGUAUAUUAAAGUUGUUGCAGUUAAAAAGCUCGUAGUUGAACCUUGGGCCUGGCUGGCAGGUCCGCCUCACCGCGUGUACUUGACCGGCCGGGCCUUUCCUUCUGGAGAACCUCAUGCCCUUCACUGGG
RNAcentral lists this ribosomal RNA (517 nucleotides) under uncultured fungus. Its description in RNAcentral is "SSU rRNA". It matches the Rfam family "Eukaryotic small subunit ribosomal RNA", at positions 209 to 726 of the family's 1831-position model. Lineage: Eukaryota; Fungi. The record is from RNAcentral.